RNAcentral lists this ribosomal RNA (2918 nucleotides) under Aeromonas veronii. Its description in RNAcentral is "23S ribosomal RNA". It matches the Rfam family "Bacterial large subunit ribosomal RNA". The record is from RNAcentral. Lineage: Bacteria; Pseudomonadati; Pseudomonadota; Gammaproteobacteria; Aeromonadales; Aeromonadaceae.
GUUGUAUGGUUAAGUGACUAAGCGUACAUGGUGGAUGCCUUGGCAGUCAGAGGCGAUGAAGGACGUACUAACCUGCGAUAAGCUGUGAGAAGUCGGUAAGAGACGCUAUUACUCACAGAUUUCCGAAUGGGGAAACCCACCCAAGAUAACUUGGGUAUCGUUACAUGAAUACAUAGUGUAACGAGGCGAACCGGGAGAACUGAAACAUCUAAGUACCCCGAGGAAAAGAAAUCAACCGAGAUUCCCUCAGUAGCGGCGAGCGAACGGGGAUUAGCCCUUAAGCAUCUUGGAAGUUAGUGGAACGGUCCUGGAAAGGCCGGCGAUACAGGGUGAUAGCCCCGUACACGAAAACAACCUUGAUGUGAAAUCGAGUAGGGCGGGACACGUGACAUCCUGUCUGAAUAUGGGGGGACCAUCCUCCAAGGCUAAAUACUCCUGACUGACCGAUAGUGAACCAGUACCGUGAGGGAAAGGCGAAAAGAACCCCUGUGAGGGGAGUGAAAUAGAACCUGAAACCGUGUACGUACAAGCAGUGGGAGCCCUUCGGGGUGACUGCGUACCUUUUGUAUAAUGGGUCAGCGACUUACAUUUUGUAGCGAGGUUAACCGUAUAGGGGAGCCGUAGGGAAACCGAGUCUUAACUGGGCGUCUAGUUGCAAGGUGUAGACCCGAAACCGGGUGAUCUAGCCAUGGGCAGGUUGAAGGUUGAGUAACAUCAACUGGAGGACCGAACCCACUAACGUUGCAAAGUUAGGGGAUGACCUGUGGCUGGGGGUGAAAGGCCAAUCAAACUCGGAGAUAGCUGGUUCUCCCCGAAAGCUAUUUAGGUAGCGCCUCGGACGAAUACUACUGGGGGUAGAGCACUGUUUGGGCUAGGGGGUCAUCCCGACUUACCAACCCCAUGCAAACUCCGAAUACCAGUAAGUAAUAUCCGGGAGACACACGGCGGGUGCUAACGUCCGUCGUGAAGAGGGAAACAACCCAGACCGCCGGCUAAGGUCCCAAAGUUCUGGUUAAGUGGGAAACGAUGUGGGAAGGCUCAGACAGCUAGGAUGUUGGCUUAGAAGCAGCCAUCAUUUAAAGAAAGCGUAAUAGCUCACUAGUCGAGUCGGCCUGCGCGGAAGAUGUAACGGGGCUCAAACCAGGCACCGAAGCCGCGGAUUCACACUUAUGUGUGAGUGGUAGGGGAGCGUUCUGUAAGUCUGCGAAGGUGUAUCGAGAGGUAUGCUGGAGAUAUCAGAAGUGCGAAUGCUGACGUAAGUAACGAUAAAGGGGGUGAAAAGCCUCCUCGCCGGAAGACCAAGGGUUCCUGUCCAACGUUAAUCGGGGCAGGGUGAGUCGACCCCUAAGGCGAGGCCGAAAGGCGUAGUCGAUGGGAAGCAGGUUAAUAUUCCUGCACGACUUGUAAUUGCGAUGGGGGGACGGAGAAGGCUAGGUGGGCCAGGCGACGGUUGUCCUGGUGAAAGUGCGUAGGUGGUGUUUGUAGGCAAAUCCGCAGACACAACGCUGAGACACGAGACGAACACACUACGGUGUGGAAGCCAUUGAUGCCCUGCUUCCAGGAAAAGCCUCUAAGCUUCAGAUUACAAGUCAUCGUACCCCAAACCGACACAGGUGGUCGGGUAGAGAAUACCAAGGCGCUUGAGAGAACUCGGGUGAAGGAACUAGGCAAAAUAGAACCGUAACUUCGGGAGAAGGUUCGCUCUUGAUGGUGAAGUCCCUUGCGGAUGGAGCUGUCGGGAGUCGCAGUGACCAGAUGGCUGGGACUGUUUAUCAAAAACACAGCACUCUGCAAACACGAAAGUGGACGUAUAGGGUGUGACACCUGCCCGGUGCCGGAAGGUUAAUUGAUGGGGUUAGCGCAAGCGAAGCUCUUGAUCGAAGCCCCGGUAAACGGCGGCCGUAACUAUAACGGUCCUAAGGUAGCGAAAUUCCUUGUCGGGUAAGUUCCGACCUGCACGAAUGGUGUAACCAUGGCCAUGCUGUCUCCACCCGAGACUCAGUGAAAUCGAAUUCGCCGUGAAGAUGCGGUGUACCCGCGGCUAGACGGAAAGACCCCGUGAACCUUUACUACAGCUUGGCACUGAACAUUGAACCUACAUGUGUAGGAUAGGUGGGAGGCUUUGAAGGCGUGACGCCAGUUGCGCUGGAGCCGUCCUUGAAAUACCACCCUUGUAUGUUUGAUGUUCUAACGCAGGGCCCUGAAUCGGGCUCGCGGACAGUGCCUGGUGGGUAGUUUGACUGGGGCGGUCUCCUCCCAAAGAGUAACGGAGGAGCACGAAGGUUGGCUAAUCCUGGUCGGACAUCAGGAGGUUAGUGCAAUGGCAUAAGCCAGCUUAACUGCGAGACGGACAGGUCGAGCAGGUACGAAAGUAGGUCAUAGUGAUCCGGUGGUUCUGAAUGGAAGGGCCAUCGCUCAACGGAUAAAAGGUACUCCGGGGAUAACAGGCUGAUACCGCCCAAGAGUUCAUAUCGACGGCGGUGUUUGGCACCUCGAUGUCGGCUCAUCACAUCCUGGGGCUGAAGUCGGUCCCAAGGGUAUGGCUGUUCGCCAUUUAAAGUGGUACGCGAGCUGGGUUCAGAACGUCGUGAGACAGUUCGGUCCCUAUCUGCCGUGGGCGUUGGAUGAUUGAAGGGAGUUGCUCCUAGUACGAGAGGACCGGAGUGAACGAACCUCUGGUGUUCGGGUUGUCACGCCAGUGGCACUGCCCGGUAGCUAAGUUCGGAAUCGAUAACCGCUGAAAGCAUCUAAGCGGGAAGCGAGCCCUGAGAUGAGUCAUCCCUGACCCCUUGAGGGUCCUAAAGGGCCGUUGGAGACCACAACGUUGAUAGGCGGGGUGUGUAAGUGCAGCGAUGCAUUGAGCUAACCCGUACUAAUUACCCGUGAGGCUUAACCAUACAACACCCAAGAAGUGUUCU